Acanthosepion pharaonis is the source of this 96-nucleotide non-coding RNA. The record is from the annotation of a GenBank genome assembly. Lineage: Eukaryota; Metazoa; Mollusca; Cephalopoda; Sepiida; Sepiidae.
UGAAACACCGGUUCCCGUACGAUCAUCAAAGUUAAGCAACAUUGAGUGUGGUCAGUACCUAGAUGGGUGACCGCUUGGGAAUACUAGGUGCUGUAA